Molecule: ribosomal RNA, 253 nt
Filed under: uncultured bacterium
Lineage: Bacteria
Description: partial 16S ribosomal RNA
Rfam family: Bacterial small subunit ribosomal RNA
Source: RNAcentral
UACGAAGGGGGCUAGCGUUGCUCGGAAUCACUGGGCGUAAAGGGUGCGUAGGCGGAUCUUUAAGUCAGGGGUGAAAUCCUGGAGCUCAACUCCAGAACUGCCUUUGAUACUGGGGAUCUCGAGUCCGGGAGAGGUGAGUGGAACUCCGAGUGUAGAGGUGAAAUUCGUAGAUAUUCGGAAGAACACCAGUGGCGAAGGCGGCUCACUGGCCCGGUACUGACGCUGAGGUGCGAAAGCGUGGGGAGCAAACAGG